Molecule: ribosomal RNA, 474 nt
Filed under: uncultured organism
Description: partial 16S ribosomal RNA
Rfam family: Bacterial small subunit ribosomal RNA
Source: RNAcentral
GUACACUCCUGCGGGAGGCAGCAGUGGGGAAUUUUGGACAAUGGGCGAAAGCCUGAUCCAGCAAUGCCGCGUGAGUGAAGAAGGCCUUCGGGUUGUAAGCUCUUUUGUCAGGGAAGAAACGGUGAAAGCUAAUAUCUUUUGCUAAUGACGGUACCUGAAGAAUAAGCACCGGCUAACUACGUGCCAGCAGCCGCGGUAAUACGUAGGGUGCAAGCGUUAAUCGGAAUUACUGGGCGUAAAGCGUGCGCAGGCGGUUUUGUAAGUCUGAGGUGAAAUCCCCGGGCUCAACCUGGGAAUUGCAGUGGAGACAGCAAGGCUAGAAUCUGGCAGAGGGGGGUAGAAUUCCACGUGUAGCAGUGAAAUGCGUAGAUAUGUGGAGGAACACCGAUGGCGAAGGCAGCCCCCUGGGUCAAGAUUGACGCUCAUGCACGAAAGCGUGGGGAGCAAACAGGAUUAGAAACCCGAGCAGUCCCA